RNAcentral lists this ribosomal RNA (253 nucleotides) under uncultured bacterium. RNAcentral's name for it is "partial 16S ribosomal RNA". It matches the Rfam family "Bacterial small subunit ribosomal RNA", at positions 524 to 776 of the family's 1533-position model. The record is from RNAcentral.
UACGAAGGGGGCUAGCGUUGCUCGGAAUCACUGGGCGUAAAGCGCACGUAGGCGGCUUCUUAAGUCAGGGGUGAAAUCCUGGAGCUCAACUCCAGAACUGCCUUUGAUACUGAGAAGCUUGAGUCCGGGAGAGGUGAGUGGAACUGCGAGUGUAGAGGUGAAAUUCGUAGAUAGUCGCAAGAACCCCAGUGGCGAAGGCGGCUCACUGGCCCGGUACUGACGCUGAGGUGCGAAAGCUAGGGGAGCGAAAGGG